This 702-nucleotide long non-coding RNA is filed under the name Mustela putorius furo (domestic ferret). Its description in RNAcentral is "lncRNA (ENSMPUG00000026844.1)". The record is from RNAcentral. Lineage: Eukaryota; Metazoa; Chordata; Mammalia; Carnivora; Mustelidae.
ACUAUUUUAAGAUGUUUUCCUAUGGAUGAAUUUCUUCAUCAGAAUAUACAUGUAGUCAGGGAGCCCACUCCCUACCCAUUGCCAACAAUAACCCUUACUGCUCACAAACACACAUGAACUCCAUGACACAAGCAAGUGCCACAAAGAAUGGAGAUAUUUGUUCCUCUUUAUGAAGAACUAUAGGGCAGAAAUAGUGAGCUGUGGAGACAUUGUCAACUUAUCUUAGGCAGUUUCAAUGAGCAAGUCCCUCACUAUGUUUUUUUUUUUUUUUUUUAAUAGUCAUUCCAAAUAUCGUGAGAUGCAUUGUUACAGGAAGUCCCUUGCCUUCCCAAAAGCCACUCCAUUUCUCUCUGAGAAGGGGCAGUUCUUACCCAAGUCCACACAGGAGAGUGAUAAAAUUGCUUUUGUGUAAAUUAUGUAGUCCAAAUUUUUUUUUUUUAAUCUUCACCUUAAAAACUGUUCUUUCUGUUCUAUUUUGAAUGGUCUGCCAUCAUGGCUUCCCCCUUUUUUGUCCCCUCCAAUUUAAGAUUCAUGAAGGCGUUUUGGUUUCCUUGGGAGUGGAGUUGAGGCACGAGGCAGCCAGGCGCUUCCCUGUACACUGACAAGACCAGUUCGAAAAAGUGUGCACACCUUAAAUAAAUAAAUAAAUAAAUAAAAUGUUGAACUCAUUUUAAUUCACAUGCUCUUCUUAGAAAUUUACUU